This 972-nucleotide non-coding RNA is filed under the name Vultur gryphus (Andean condor). Its description in RNAcentral is "12S ribosomal RNA". It matches the Rfam family "Bacterial small subunit ribosomal RNA". Lineage: Eukaryota; Metazoa; Chordata; Aves; Accipitriformes; Cathartidae. The record is from RNAcentral.
AAAGACUUAGUCCUAACCUUACAGUUAAUUCUUGCUAGACAUAUACAUGCAAGUAUCCGCGCCCCAGUGUAAAUGCCCCUAAUCUCUUACUAAGACAAAAGGAGCAGGUAUCAGGCACACCCAUGAUUAGUAGCCCAAGACACCUUGCACAGCCACACCCCCACGGGUACUCAGCAGUAAUUAACAUUAAGCAAUAAGUGUAAACUUGACUUAGUUAUAGCAACACACAGGGUUGGUAAAUCUUGUGCCAGCCACCGCGGUCAUACAAGAGACCCAAAUUAACUGUACACGGCGUAAAGAGUGGAAUUAAUACUAUCACAACAACUAAGAUCAAACCGUAACUGAGCUGUCAUAAGCCCAAGAUGCUCCUAAGACCACCCUUAAGACGAUCUUAGCGCCUUACGAUUAAUUAAAUCCCACGAAAGCUUGGGCACAAACUGGGAUUAGAUACCCCACUAUGCCUGGCCCUAAAUCUCGAUGCUUAACUCACCAAAGCAUCCGCCUGAGAACUACGAGCACAAACGCUUAAAACUCUAAGGACUUGGCGGUGCCCCAAACCCACCUAGAGGAGCCUGUUCUAUAAUCGAUACCCCACGAUAUACCCGACCGCUCCUUGCCAGAGCAGCCUACAUACCGCCGUCGCCAGUUCACCUUUCCUGAGAGCACAACAGUGAGCACAAUAGCCUCAACCUCGCUAAUACGACAGGUCAAGGUAUAGCCCAUGGAGCGGAAGAAAUGGGCUACAUUUUCUAAAUUAGAAAACUCCACGAAAAGGGGCGUGAAACCACCCCUAGAAGGCGGAUUUAGCAGUAAAGUGGGACAAUAAAGCCCCCUUUAAACCGGCCCCAGGGCACGUACAUACCGCCCGUCACCCUCCUCACAAGCUACAAUCCCUUAUAAUUAAUAUACUAAUCAGCUGAAGAUGAGGUAAGUCGUAACAAGGUAAGUGUACCGGAAGGUGCACUUAGCACA